GAGGCCCUUUUUUGUCUUUCCUCUUUGGCGGACACUAUGCAGAUAGUGGUGAGCAACUUGUAUCCAAGGGAAAGACUGGAUUUAAAUCCUACCAAACUCUAUUUAACUGCAUCUCUUGUGGCCUCAUGACUAAGCUAAGGCUAAUGAUUGACAAACAGAUCCAAAGCCUCUUAAAGAAGAGCUGGCGUCUGGCCUCUGCUCCCCUUCUUCUCUGUCACUCUUUCCAUCCCUCUGGCUUGGAAUGUGAUGCGAGAGUCACAUUCCAAGCUGUGGCUGACUUCUUGUGCUAUGAGCCUGCACAGCUCUUUCCAGCAUCCUGACAGCUAGUCAACAUGGAGGAGGCUUCCAGCUCAGCUCCAGCUUCAUUUUCAGUGACCUGCAGCCCAAGCAUGCAAUAGAAUGUAGUGUUUGGGAGGUAUCAAGGGCCUCUGUAACCAACAACUCACUGGAAGGUAUUCCAUCCCUGGCACUGAAAUUUUUCUAAUAAUAAUCUAUGGCUUCUGGGCACAACA
Long non-coding RNA from Jaculus jaculus (lesser Egyptian jerboa), 512 nucleotides. RefSeq lists it as uncharacterized. The record is from RefSeq and is a predicted model, not a curated record. The transcript is spliced from 3 exons. NCBI's taxonomy places the organism in Eukaryota, Metazoa, Chordata, Mammalia, Rodentia, Dipodidae.